RNAcentral lists this ribosomal RNA (507 nucleotides) under uncultured bacterium. RNAcentral's name for it is "bacterial SSU rRNA". It matches the Rfam family "Bacterial small subunit ribosomal RNA", at positions 15 to 518 of the family's 1533-position model. The record is from RNAcentral.
GAUCAUGGCGUCAGGAUGAACGCUGGCGGCGUGCCUAACACAUGCAAGUCGAACGAAGCAUACGGACCGGAGAUUCGUCGAAGGACUGUAUGACUUAGUGGCGGACGGGUGAGUAAUGUAUGAGCAACCUGCCUUUCAGAGGGGGACAACAGUUGGAAACGACUGCUAAUACCGCGUAAUGUAUCGUGAGGGCAUCCUCGUGAUACCAAAGGAGCAAUCCGCUGAAAGAUGGGCUCAUAUCUGAUUAGCUUGUUGGCGGGGUAACGGCCCACCAAGGCGACGAUCAGUAGCCGGACUGAGAGGUUGAACGGCCACAUUGGGACUGAGAUACGGCCCAGACUCCUACGGGAGGCAGCAGUGGGGAAUAUUGGGCAAUGGGCGAAAGCCUGACCCAGCAACGCCGCGUGAAGGAAGAAGGUCUUCGGAUUGUAAACUUCUUUUAUGAGGGACGAAGGACGUGACGGUACCUCAUGAAUAAGCCACGGCUAACUACGUGCCAGCCGCCGC